RNAcentral lists this ribosomal RNA (253 nucleotides) under uncultured bacterium. RNAcentral's name for it is "partial 16S ribosomal RNA". It matches the Rfam family "Bacterial small subunit ribosomal RNA", at positions 524 to 776 of the family's 1533-position model. The record is from RNAcentral.
UACGUAGGGGGCAAGCGUUGUCCGGAUUUAUUGGGCGUAAAGAGCGUGUAGGCGGCCAGGUAGGUCAGCUGUGAAAACUCGAGGCUCAACCUCGAGAUGUCGGCUGAAACCAUCUGGCUAGAGUCCGGAAGAGGAGAAUGGAAUUCCCGGUGUAGCGGUGAAAUGCGUAGAUAUCAGGAGGAAUACCGAUGGCGAAGGCAGGUCUCUGGGCUGACACUGACGCUCAUGCACGAAAGCGUGGGGAGCAAACAGG